This 21-nucleotide non-coding RNA is filed under the name Arabidopsis thaliana (thale cress). Lineage: Eukaryota; Viridiplantae; Streptophyta; Magnoliopsida; Brassicales; Brassicaceae. The record is from RNAcentral.
UGCUGGGCCUCAUCUAGACGA